This 406-nucleotide ribosomal RNA is filed under the name uncultured bacterium. RNAcentral's name for it is "partial 16S ribosomal RNA". It matches the Rfam family "Bacterial small subunit ribosomal RNA", at positions 30 to 526 of the family's 1533-position model. The record is from RNAcentral.
AUUGAACGCUGGCGGCAGGCCUAACACAUGCAAGUCGAGCGAGCGGCGGACGGGUGAGUAAUGUAUGGGAAACUGCCUGAUAGAGGGGGAUAACUACUGGAAACGGUAGCUAAUACCGCAUACCAUCGGAUGUGCCCAGAUGGGAUUAGCUGGUAGGUGGGGUAACGGCUCACCUAGGCGACGAUCCCUAGCUGGUCUGAGAGGAUGAUCAGCCACACUGGGACUGAGACACGGUCCAGACUCCUACGGGAGGCAGCAGUGGGGAAUAUUGCACAAUGGGCGCAAGCCUGAUGCAGCCAUGCCGCGUGUGUGAAGAAGGCCUUAGGGUUGUAAAGCACUUUCAGCGGGGAGGCGUUACCGACAGAAGAAGCACCGGCUAACUCCGUGCCAGCAGCCGCGGUAAUUC